GGAGAGGUGGCUGAGUGGUCGAAAGCGGCGGUCUUGAAAACCGUUGAGGGUAACACCUCCCAGGGUUCGAAUCCCUGUCUCUCCGCCA
This 88-nucleotide transfer RNA is filed under the name Coxiellaceae bacterium. RNAcentral's name for it is "tRNA-Ser". It matches the Rfam family "tRNA". Rfam says of the family: Transfer RNA (tRNA) molecules are approximately 80 nucleotides in length. Their secondary structure includes four short double-helical elements and three loops (D, anti-codon, and T loops). Lineage: Bacteria; Pseudomonadati; Pseudomonadota; Gammaproteobacteria; Legionellales; Coxiellaceae. The record is from RNAcentral.